AUGUAGUGUGACAUGCCCGUUUGGGAAUUACUCAGAUGCAUGUUUAUUUAUUAUUAAAUUAAUUUUGGGUAACGGGGUGUUACAUCCA
RNAcentral lists this microRNA precursor (88 nucleotides) under Medicago truncatula (barrel medic). RNAcentral's name for it is "MIR2617 microRNA precursor family". It matches the Rfam family "MIR2617 microRNA precursor family". The record is from Rfam by way of RNAcentral. Lineage: Eukaryota; Viridiplantae; Streptophyta; Magnoliopsida; Fabales; Fabaceae.